CAAGGCUGGGGGCUAGCUGUCUAUGUUCAAGUUAUCAAUGAAUCUUCAGUGGAAAAAGAGAUAUAUACAUAUAUUUUAAAUAUCUCUUUUGUAUAUAAAUGCUAUUGGGAGGCAGAGCUGAAUAUCUGUAAGGAGUGUACCAGUGGUGGUGAACUUACUGAAAUGUCAAAACUAAACCAAGCAAAACUUCCCACUUCAAGAACUUGAAUCAUGACCUUCCUUACUGAAGUAUAAAGUUUAAAAGUGAAGAGUGACUUCCGUUUGUAACUCACUGCUACGAUGCCACUGCUGCUUUUAUUUUCAGUGUAGUCAGAUUCCAAAGACUGGAGUUCUUUUGCUUUUGUACAGUACAGUUAAUUUCUUUCUUGAAACAGGCAUAGAAGAAACCAGAGAUUUAAAUCUCCUCUUUCCUGCUGAAGCUAAAUCACUCAGACGAGUCUAAAUGGGAGUACCAUGUGUAAAUAAGGAGAAUAAAAUCCUGUACCGGAUUAUUAAUGUAACUGGGUCAUCACCUGUUGAGGUGAUCCAGGGGCAUGUUUUUUUCAUGGCCAUUAACUCAGAUCUCAUACAACUUCCCAUUCCAUUUCCUGCUCUGUCCAGCCUCUGGUAAUAAUGUGACUAUGCCUGGAAAGUUUGAGAAAAAUGCUGCCUUUUUGGAGAAUCACAAUAGCAUACAGAGGGAGUCGAUUAUCCUCGGACAGGCACCAUUCAAAUUCCCAGUAGCACAAGAAGUGCCAAGAAAACCCCAGAAAGUUCAGUGGCUUUGUUUGGCUUGGAAAAACACUCAGAAAUUUGGCUUUUAAUUUCUUCAUGAUCCCUACAGCAUGCUUCAUCCUAACUGGAGCCUGACUGAAGUCACAUUGUUUCCUAGAUCAAAUAUACCAUUGGAGCUGUAUGCAAGCAUGGGACUUCUAAAUGCAUUAUGGGCCUGGGCUUCAGUCAUGAGGAGCUUUUCUACUGUCUUCAAGGUUUUAGUUUAGACUGUGUUUGGACUAUGAGUGUCUGCCAAGUUAAAGUACAGUUCUCACAAGGUUUCCAGAUCAUCCUGUUACUAGGUGGGCAACUCCUCCCCCCAAAAAAGAAGAGCCUUUGGAAUUUGAUUGGCCUUCUGGACUGGAAGCAGAAGUAAUCAAAUGGAAAGAAAAGCUUGGAGAGGAGAAGGGAUAUACAUCUCAAGGCUGUGAACAGAGCCAGUUUCAGCUGACUACUGGCAAAAUUCCACAUCCUUCUUUUCUAUAGACAGGUUUAUUGAAUCCCAUAUGUUAGGCUCUGCUUCAGUUCCAGAUUUUCCUGCUUUCAUUCUUUUGAAUGCAUCUGUCCUGUUAGUGUUUUUUCUUGGGAAUUAAGAGGCAUUAACAUUGCAUCCAGUUAUUUCCGUGAUUUCUCACUCUCAGAACAUGACAAACUCACUACAAAGGUUUUUCUGUCUUGCAUGUGCAUAUCAAAUGUGUGGAAGCCAAAGCAAAGAGGCAGUGCAUGUCCAAAAAGGACUUCUUGGCUUCCACUAGUGCUUAUGACUUUUCAGAAUGAAAGAUUAUUGAAUGUUUCCCAAAGCAGCAGCUGUACAAAUGAGACUUGCAUUGGGAGGAGGAAAUAUAUGCACUAAUCCUUGAACUGGUGAUCCAUGCCUAAAUAUCCUGGGGACAAGUUGAAAACUCAAAGGGAAAUACCUGUUAGCUUUCAGGAUCAUUGGUAUGCUAAAAUCUCCCCAAGCUUCUCUAUUUUCCUAUUAGUUUGGUUUGUGAAGUCUAUUUGUUGCCCUGAGGCAAGUAUGCUCCUAACGCUUUAUAUACUUCCAAUAGGCAUAAAUUAAUCUUUGACUUCAGUAGUACCCUACAAAGUCUAUGGAUCAUCAAGCCCUGGAAGUUAAAAAUAUUUUUGUAUGUUAAGAUUCUUUGACUCCCCUCCCUCACCUCCUCCCUUGUCACUUUAAACUAUUCCUGAAAAUUCACAGCCUCUGAUAAGUAUAUAAUAAAACUUGGUGAGAGAUGAUGAAGGGUAGAAAUUAGCCACAGUUUCUUCAUUGUCAGCAUUAUGCAAUCCAGGUUUGGAGCUCUUCUCAAACAUCUGCCAGUGCUUUUUCAUCACAGACUCAAGGGAAUGCCAGGAGCACUGAGCCCACUCAGACCUGCCUGAGCAUCAUUUGCAUGAUCUUUUAUCUAGGUCCAUGGAGUAUGUGCAGCUAUCUAAUCUCCUUCCAAUUAUCAUCGAGUAAUACAGCAUCUGAUCACAUGGCCUUUAGGCCUAUAUCCUACCAUCCAAAAUAGUGUCUAUAAAUAGGUCCUAAUUUUGUGUCCUUCAAUCCUAUGGUAUGUUCUGCUGAAGUGCAGAACCACUAUUAGCUGAUGCACACAGUUGAUUCACCAUCAGGUGGCCUAUCAUAUUUAUACUCUUGAAUUACAAAUGAAACUUAAAUUCUUGUAAUUAAACAUAUAAUUAGAAAAUUACUCAGAAGAAUUGUCUUCACAUCUGCGUAAUGAAAUUAAUUUCAGUAUUGUACUCCCCCCACAUAUACAGAUCCCAUAGCAAGAUCAGAAAGUGACCAAAUGCUGUGUAAGAGAAGGGUGCACAUGCAGACUUACAGAAGGGGAAGAAGGCAACUGCACUUUACCUUCCAGGUUAGCACAUCUUGAGUUUAGAGUGCUCAUUACAGCUUUCAAAUACCUGUGUAAAACCCCAGGUUACUCUCAAGCAGACAUUGUCCUGAAGGAUUUUAUAUGAGUCUUAUUUGAAGUCUAUAGAAAUUUUCCAUGAACAGAAAAAUUGAACUGAACAUUAAAUUGAUACAAUACAAGGUCUUGUGUUGGUCUUAUGUUUGUAUUUCCCUUUGAAUCAUCUUAGUGAAAAUUGUAAUAACAAGAGCAUAAAAAAUAAUUCAUGUUAGCAUCAGAAAUUAUUUUGUCCAUCAUCUUUUCAUUUACACCCUCUUUUUGACAUUGCUGUGACUCUAAGUGUUGCUAACACAUAAACAGAUCCUACUCUGUUAGUUUUGAAGCCUCACUUUUGCCUAUUACCUCUUUCUGAAGUUAUGUUCUCCCUCCCUCCUACACAACACUUUACAUGUCCACUAACCAUAAACAAGCCUCUGCUAUUCCAUUCCCUUCCAUCACUUGGCUGUUUGUGUCUGUUCCCCUUCCUCCAUACCUUGAAUCUGUGAAAGAAUAUCUGAGCAGCUGGGACAACUCCAUCACUGAUGAGAAAGAAGAAUCUCUGAGGGAUCACGUGGGAGCAGACGAUUUUGUCAGGUGAAUUGCUCAAGUCCCUUCUAGUCCCAUUUCUUUAUGUUUUGGUGAAGCUUGGAGCAUUCAGUGGAUGCUUUAAGGAUCGAGCUGACAUAUAUAUAUAUAUGUAACCGUAUAUAACCUUAUUUUAUGAAAGAAAGUGAACACACUAGUUAAAGGUGGUCAAAGACACCAGUUGUAAAAUAUGGAGUGUCGCUUCUGAUUGGUAAGUUUGUUAAUGUAACAUUAGAACUCUAAGAUCAGAGGUCCAGUAGUUGUUUCUUCAUAUUUAAAUUAAUGAACAAGAAUUUUGUAAAUAACAUCAAUAGUGGUUGAGAUGCUUGGUAAUUAUUGUCCUAUAUGAUUGGAUCUACAAAUUAUGUAGAUUUUGUAGUGGAUCUAAAAAUUAUUGUACAGCUGCAAUGGUCGUAAGUAAAUACUGUGAUUUAUAGGUUUUGCAGUUGCUUACACAUGGACCGAAUGCUUUAAAUAAAAGUACUAUGCU
This is a non-coding RNA of Anas platyrhynchos (mallard), 3726 nucleotides long. NCBI's taxonomy places the organism in Eukaryota, Metazoa, Chordata, Aves, Anseriformes, Anatidae. The record is from RefSeq and is a predicted model, not a curated record.